Molecule: long non-coding RNA, 248 nt
Filed under: Capsicum annuum
Lineage: Eukaryota; Viridiplantae; Streptophyta; Magnoliopsida; Solanales; Solanaceae
Description: long non-coding RNA (CANN_LNC015724)
Source: RNAcentral
CCAUUUUUGGCUAACUCUGCGAUGCAGUAAAGUGCCAGGUAGCACACUGUCUCACUAAAAUGGCUCUAACUCUUUGUUCGAGUGUCAGAUUUAGAUGAAUUUGGUAUCUACAAAAAGCUUAUUCAAUUAUUUUCAUAAAAAAAAUUUGAUAUUAGGAAAAUUCCAAAUGUUUCAAGAUAUUUCUCACUUGGGAUGUCACUUCAAAAUCUUUUAGGGGCAAAUUUCCACUCCACUUGACACGCUCCAAA